This 253-nucleotide ribosomal RNA is filed under the name uncultured bacterium. RNAcentral's name for it is "partial 16S ribosomal RNA". It matches the Rfam family "Bacterial small subunit ribosomal RNA", at positions 524 to 776 of the family's 1533-position model. The record is from RNAcentral.
UACGUAGGGGGCAAGCGUUGUCCGGAAUCAUUGGGCGUAAAGAGCGUGUAGGCGGCCCGGUAAGUCCGCUGUGAAAGUCCAGGGCUCAACCCUGGGAUGCCGGUGGAUACUGUCGGGCUCGAGUCCGGAAGAGGAGUGUGGAAUUCCUGGUGUAGCGGUGAAAUGCGCAGAUAUCAGGAGGAACACCAAUGGCGAAGGCAGCACUCUGGGACGUGACUGACGCUGAGACGCGAAAGCGUGGGAAGCAAACAGG